UUGAUUUCCUUCGGGACUGAUUAUUUUGUGACUGAGUGGCGGACGGGUGAGUAACGCGUGGGUAACCUGCCUUGUACAGGGGGAUAACAGUUGGAAACGGCUGCUAAUACCGCAUAAGCGCACAGCAUCGCAUGAUGCAGUGUGAAAAACUCCGGUGGUAUAAGAUGGACCCGCGUUGGAUUAGCUAGUUGGUGAGGUAACGGCCCACCAAGGCGACGAUCCAUAGCCGACCUGAGAGGGUGACCGGCCACAUUGGGACUGAGACACGGCCCAAACUCCUACGGGAGGCAGCAGUGGGGAAUAUUGCACAAUGGGCGAAAGCCUGAUGCAGCGACGCCGCGUGAGCGAAGAAGUAUUUCGGUAUGUAAAGCUCUAUCAGCAGGGAAGAUAAUGACGGUACCUGACUAAGAAGCACCGGCUAAAUACGUGCCAGCAGCCGCGGUAAUACGUAUGGUGCAAGCGUUAUCCGGAUUUACUGGGUGUAAAGGGAGCGCAGGCGGUGCGGCAAGUCUGAUGUGAAAGCCCGGGGCUCAACCCCGGUACUGCAUUGGAAACUGUCGUACUAGAGUGUCGGAGGGGUAAGCGGAAUUCCUAGUGUAGCGGUGAAAUGCGUAGAUAUUAGGAGGAACACCAGUGGCGAAGGCGGCUUACUGGACGAUAACUGACGCUGAGGCUCGAAAGCGUGGGGAGCAAACAGGAUUAGAUACCCUGGUAGUCCACGCCGUANACGAUGAAUACUAGGUGUUGGGAAGCA
RNAcentral lists this ribosomal RNA (754 nucleotides) under uncultured bacterium. RNAcentral's name for it is "bacterial SSU rRNA". It matches the Rfam family "Bacterial small subunit ribosomal RNA", at positions 68 to 832 of the family's 1533-position model. The record is from RNAcentral.